RNAcentral lists this ribosomal RNA (515 nucleotides) under uncultured bacterium. Its description in RNAcentral is "bacterial SSU rRNA". It matches the Rfam family "Bacterial small subunit ribosomal RNA", at positions 32 to 523 of the family's 1533-position model. The record is from RNAcentral.
AAUCAACGCUGGCGGCGUGCCUCAGACAUGCAAGUCGAACGCGAAAGUCCCCUUCGGGGGACAAGUAGAGUGGCGCACGGGUGAGUAACACGUAGGUAAUCUACCUUCGGAUGGGGAAUAACAACCGGAAACGGUUGCUAAUACCGCAUAAUGCAGCGGCACCUAAUGGUGACAGUUGUUAAAGCGGGGGAUCGAAAGACCUCGCGUCUGAAGAGGAGCCUGCGGCGGAUUAGCUAGNGGUAAGGUAAUGGCUUACCAAGGCGACGAUCCGUAGCCGGCCUGAGAGGGCGGUCGGCCACACUGACACUGACAUACGGGUCAGACUCCUACGGGAGGCAGCAGUCGGGAAUUUUGGGCAAUGGGCGAAAGCCUGACCCAGCAACGCCGCGUGAAGGAUGAAAUCCCCCGGGAUGUAAACUUCGCAAGAACGGGAAGAAUAAGUAGGGGACAAUACCCCCUAUGAUGACGGUACCGUUUGUAAGCUCCGGCUAACUCCGUGCCAGCCGCCGCGGUAU